AAAACAAAAAGUCCAAUUAGCAAGUUCUGACCUGGAAUCAAAGCUGCUCUGCACAGCACCUGCCCCAGUCCCCAAAGCCAAACCCUGGGGUGAGACCAUCGAGCCAUGGCUAAAGGCAGCGGCUCUGGGUGCAUCUGGAGAACUCAGGGCAGCUCAAGAUGCAGUAACUAGAGUUGACAGUGAUUCUGAGCAUGCAGAAGGCAGACCAAGCGGCCUUCUCUAGACUCGGGCCCUGCACAUACAGACCAAGCCACCUUCUCCAGACUCAGGCCCUGCACAUACAGACCAAGCCACCUUCUCUAAACUCGGGCCCUGCACAUACGGACCAAGCCGCCUUCUCUAAACUCAGGCCCUGCACAUACAGACCAAGCGGCCUUCUCUAGACUCGGGACCUGCACAUAUGGACCAAGCCGCCUUCUCCAGACUCAGGCCCUGCACAUACAGACCAAGCCGCCUUCUCUAGACUCGGGCCCUGCACAUACAGACCAAGCCACCUUCUCUAGACAUGGGCCCUGCACAUACACACCAAGCGGCCUUCUCCAGACUCAGGCCCUGCACAUACAGACCCCGCCUUCUCUAAACUCGGGCCCUGCACAUACGGACCAAGCGGCCUUCUCUAGACUCGGGCCCUGCACAUACAGACCAAGCCACCUUCUCUAGACAUGGGCCCUGCACAUAAAGACCAAGCCGCCUUCUCUAGACUCGGGCCCUGCACAUACAGACCAAGCGGCCUUCUCUAGACUCGGGCCCUGCACAUAAAGACCAAGCCGCCUUCUCUAGACUCGGGACCUGCACAUAUGGACCAAGCCACCUUCUCUAGACAUGGGCCCUGCACAAAAAGACCAAGCCGAAGCUGCUCUGUUUAAGUUGACAAAGUCAUCGAGCCACACCGUCAUGUCCGCCCAUGUCCUGUACUGUGAGUGCUCCCCCGUUCACGGCACCCCACAGUGAAGGAUGCACCAAACCCCAGCAAACGCCUACGGACCCAACGGACCCACUCCACUACUCUCCACACGUGUAAAGGAAGCAUCCCACGGCAGCUCCAUGGGAUCUGAGCACAGAAGAUGGAGAUGAAGAGGAUGCCGGGUGGCCACCCAGACGCUGAUGCCAUCUGUGGGAACGAGGGACCCACCAGGCGUCACUUCAGGUCCCCUCUCACAGGGCGCAUCAGGAGAUGACAGUGCCCCAACCACAGAUACCAGGGCACACUCAGCAAAGCCUGUGGUCACGUGGUGUCAACAGCAGCCGCCUAGAGCGAUGUCACUCUGUGGUAGGAGACGCCGUGCCGGGCACCAGGGCUUUUCCCAGCACUCCCCUGCUCAGUGGCCCCGUGGUCUGGCCACAGCCUGGCAGGCAAACACCGCUGCUGGCCAUUGUGUGGGCACAGGAAAUGAGGCUCAGAGCCAUCAAGGUCGCUGCUGGGACAGCAGAGCUGUGUCUCCACCCUGCACUGCGUUCCCAACAGGGCAGUGGCCUGGACACCCCUUGGCAGCCAUGUCCACUGCACGGUGUUCCCUCUCCCUGCACACAGCCAUGUCCCCCUGCGUCCUCCACCAGGGCCAGCCCAGGCGUGCUGACGAGCUGCACCUUCACGUGGAUGCUGGGGGAGAGGCCAUCCCAAGGAGGCAUCCAGUGUGCAGACACAGCCACGGUGCAGAAAACAAGCUCACUGCAAUGGGCCCGGCAGUCACGUGGUCCUUGCAGUUCACAGGGAGACUGGCCUUGGGCUCAGGGGCAGGAGAUUGAACUUAGAGGCGGACUAGAGGAGUUUUUUUGCAGAAUCACCAGCAAGGCAGCAGCAAUUUCAGCUGUGGGAAAAAAUUCAAAAGCCCAGCUCUUAUGGAAAUUGGAUAAAACUGUGCAGCCUCAGGGCCUGCGCAGACGUGAAUUCUAAUGACUUGUCAGGGACUAGUGUGGGCGAGCGGGGUGGUUCGUGGCUUCCACUGCCUGCUGCUCUGCACAGCCCCUAGGCCUCCCAGCCGACCAGGCAGACUCCGCCCCUAGGCCUCCCGCCCGACCAGGCAGAUUCGGCCCCUAGGCCUCCCGCCCCACCAGGCAGAUUCGGCCCCUAGGCCUCCCGCCCCACCAGGCAGAUUCGGCCCCUAGGCCUCCCAGCAGACCAGGCAGAUUCGGCCCCUAGGCCUCCCACCCGACCAGGCAGACUCGGCCCCUAGGCCUCCCACCCGACCAGGGAGACUCGGCCCCUAGGCCUCCCACCCGACCAGGCAGACUCGGCCCCUAGGCCUCCCGCCCGACCAGGCAGAUUCGGCCCCUAGGCCUCCCACCCGACCAGGCAGACUCGGCCCCUAGGCCUCCCACCCGACCAGGGAGACUCGGCCCCUAGGCCUCCCGCCCCACCAGGCAGAUUCGGCCCCUAGGCCUCCCACCCGACCAGGCAGAUUUUUGCUUUAAUCACCGUGUGCUGCCUCUGGCUCAGCGUGAAUGCUGGCUCUGGGACCCUUUCCUCGUAGGCAGAGGUGCUGGGUAGUGCAGGGGUAGGGCUUCCCCUGGGGCCGGUGUGCACCCCGCAGUGUCACAGCUUCCCCCAGCGCCUAGCGGCCUCCAGGUGCGCAUCUCACCUGGGUCCCAAAGGGAGGUUUCCUACCAGCCCUGGCCUGAACGUCUUGGGAACUUCUCCACUGCCCCGGCCAUGGCCCCACCCCGUGCCACUGAGGGUCUGGCUCUCAGCCUCAGUGGGGCUGGGGUUUCCAACGGCCCCCGCCUGGGCCCUGUGGGCACUGCUGCCCCUCUGUUGCUGUAUCUGUGUCCUCAGAGUCCCUUUAGUCCUUCGUUGCUGAGCCGGUGCUACUGGUUAACACUGCCUUACACUAAACCCGUCAUAAGUCUUUCUAUAAAACUGUUCAAAUUUC
RNAcentral lists this long non-coding RNA (2870 nucleotides) under Homo sapiens (human). RNAcentral describes it as "non-protein coding lnc-SLC9A3-4:1". Lineage: Eukaryota; Metazoa; Chordata; Mammalia; Primates; Hominidae. The record is from RNAcentral.